GAAACGUAUGUCAGAAAGAUGGCACUCGCCCAACCCCACAUUUGUGUGGGGGAAUCUCAGAUGUGAAAUGGCUCUUUGGAAAAAGUCCACAGUGACCAGUGAGCCCAGGCAGAGUAUGCUGGACAUGUUCUGUGGCGUCUACCCUCCAGGUCACUCUCUUCCUUGCUGCCCAUCUUGUCUUGAAAAGGACUUGAAGCAUUGAAGCGUGACAGAAGGUCUCCAGCACAGAUCCUGCUGCUCUCCCACCCUCAGGACAAGCUACCUCCAGAGAACCCUCUGAUCUGCACUCUCCCUGGGCCAACGUGGAGGCGAUAAAUCUUCUGUAUCGAUCAAGAAGAAGGCUUCAGCAACAAAGACCAAUUCACCGUCUGAAUAAAUUACAAAUUGUCUCAUGGCA
This 397-nucleotide long non-coding RNA is filed under the name Mus spicilegus (steppe mouse). RNAcentral describes it as "lncRNA (ENSMSIG00000022571.1)". The record is from RNAcentral. Lineage: Eukaryota; Metazoa; Chordata; Mammalia; Rodentia; Muridae.